RNAcentral lists this long non-coding RNA (1971 nucleotides) under Homo sapiens (human). RNAcentral's name for it is "HSALNT0391731". The record is from RNAcentral. Lineage: Eukaryota; Metazoa; Chordata; Mammalia; Primates; Hominidae.
CCUGCCCUCCCUCCCUCACCCUGCCGCUGACAGCCUCUGGCCAAAGCCCUCGGCUCCCCCAGGGCCUGGACCACCGUCUCCCUUUGCCUGGGCCUGGCUGGCCCUCUCUGAGAGGACUAAGCACCUGCUGCGAGGAAGGACAGGGAUCCUCAGGAAGGGGGUCCUGGCCACUGUGGCUACUGUUUACCUGAAUCUCCUUCAUCUCAGCUCCUUCCUCCCUCCUCCCAGUGAAACAGAGAGAAGAAAACAAAUCCAUUCCACGGGCUAGGGAAUGUCGGUGAAACAACCUGGCCACACCGCACUUCUUAGAAGCAAAUAUUCUAUGGGAGAAACAAUCACAAGGGGUAACUCUAGAGCCUCAAGCACUGAAGUCAUCAACUGAGUUGGUGACACUCCAAACCCCCUUGGGCUGGGGUGCAAGAGCUGACGGACGCAGCCUUGGCGGCCACCUUCUCCUUCAAGCUCCUUGGCCAGGUGGGAGCCGUCAGGUCCACAUGCACACCUCCAACACUUCCCAAGCGAUGGCCAGCGCUAAAGCAGAAGCAAUAGGAUGACAUCUGCUGGUGCGUCUGUAUCCAGGCCGGGCAUACGUGUGCUCUGGAGGUGCCCCUGAGGGAGGGGCCUCAGAGCAGCAGGGGGAAGAGUCUGGCUCCUGGAACACAUAGUGUUCCCUGCUUGGGGGAGACUUUCCUGCCCUCCUUCUUCCUCCUACGUCCUUGCUCUGUGGGCCAUUCCUUCUCUUCUAGCCUUACUGGAAACAACAUUCUUCCAACUGAAGAUGUAACUGAGGCCUGAAUUAUGGUAAAGGAAGAUUAUUACAACAGCCUUUAAAAUACUUGCCUAAGCUGAGCUCCUGAAGAAACUUGGACCUGUCUCCUUGACCACGCCUUUAGUACGUCUGCCGGCCCGAGAGUCCUCUUUUACAGUAAUGUUGACCAUAUUCCUAACUAAAGCAAGACCUGACCAGCUGCCAAAUAGUCCUCCCCCUCCCCCCAGUGGAAGAAAUGGCUACUGCUAUUCAACACUGAGAAUGCCAGAACAGCUCUGUGGGGCUCCACUGAAAACCUGCAGCAGGGAGGCUGAUGAUGGGAGCUGCUUAGAGAGCUUCCGAAUCUACUUCAGGUAAAUAUGGACCUGUAUGUAUCUCCUGCAGCACCCGCACCUGACAUCCAUGGCUCUGAGGCCCAGAAAGAGCUGAGGAGGUCAUAGAGAUCAUCAAUGCUCUGCUUGCUUUGAUGUACCAUUAAGAAGACGAUCUUUCCUCUAACAGCCCCAUACAACUGAGCAGCGCCACCACGUCAUACCGGUACCCUUUUCUUUACCCCUUAAAGAAUACCCAGGAAAGAAAGAUAACUAAAGGAAGUAAAGGACCAGAUCUUUUACCACCUUCCUGCGUGGGUGAUCCAUCCUCUUCCUCUAUAACAUCAUUUCCCUAGGACAGAAGGAAGGCCCUGUGAGUCUAUGAAGCGGCAAAAUGAGUAAACUGAUUGGCUGAAGACAGAACUAAUCAUCCUACUGGUAUCUAACUCCAGGGCCUACGUUAAUAGCAUAUAUUUCCAUCUGUGUUUAAUAUGCCUCAGAGGCUGAGUAGAGGCAGAUCUUGCUUGGAGAGGCACCAUCUGCCUACAGGGAUUAGAUCCGAGCCACAUUACCCAUAUAUGCUCAGAAUGGUCUGUCAGGAACACCCUUGUUAAUAGUUUAGCUGAUACUGUUUCUCUAAGGUGGAAGUAAAAAUUACUAAAUGAAAGAGCAAAUUGUGAGAUCAUAAGACUUUCAGAAAUCCCUUAAGAUCCCAAACCCCAUCCAGAUCCUCCAUUGACAGGAGUUGGCUCAAGAAGAGUUCUAGGGCUCUCACUGUGAGCUGGCGUUCCACAGCACACCAUGGUCAGGGCACGUCUCACACUGAACUGUGGUCCUGUCUGCCUGCUAGACUGGGCUCCUAGAUGGGUGCAGUGGGCUGGGGGUAGGCAG